This 497-nucleotide ribosomal RNA is filed under the name uncultured bacterium. Its description in RNAcentral is "partial 16S ribosomal RNA". It matches the Rfam family "Bacterial small subunit ribosomal RNA", at positions 28 to 507 of the family's 1533-position model. The record is from RNAcentral.
GAUGAACGCUGGCGGCGUGCCUAAUACAUGCAAGUCGAGCGAACGGACGAGAAGCUUGCUUCUCUGAUGUUAGCGGCGGACGGGUGAGUAACACGUGGAUAACCUACCUAUAAGACUGGGAUAACUUCGGGAAACCGGAGCUAAUACCGGAUAAUAUUUUGAACCGCAUGGUUCAAAAGUGAAAGACGGCCUUACUGUCACUUAUAGAUGGAUCCGCGCUGCAUUAGCUAGUUGGUAAGGUAACGGCUUACCAAGGCAACGAUGCAUAGCCGACCUGAGAGGGUGAUCGGCCACACUGGAACUGAGACACGGUCCAGACUCCUACGGGAGGCAGCAGUAGGGAAUCUUCCGCAAAGGGCGAAAGCCUGACGGAGCAACGCCGCGUGAGUGAUGAAGGUCUUCGGAUCGUAAAACUCUGUUAUUAGGGAAGAACAUAUGUGUAAGUAACUGUGCACAUCUUGACGGUACCUAAUCAGAAAGCCACGGCUAACUACGUG